Molecule: ribosomal RNA, 480 nt
Filed under: uncultured bacterium
Lineage: Bacteria
Description: bacterial SSU rRNA
Rfam family: Bacterial small subunit ribosomal RNA
Source: RNAcentral
GACGAACGCUGGCGGCGUGCUUAACACAUGCAAGUCGAACGAGAAGAGAUGAGAAGCUUGCUUCUUAUUAAUUCGAGUGGCAAACGGGUGAGUAACGCGUAAGCAACCUGCCCUUCAGAUGGGGACAACAGCUGGAAACGGCUGCUAAUACCGAAUUCGUUCUUUUUGUCGCAUGGCAGAGAGAAGAAAGGGAGGCUCUUCGGAGCUUUCGCUGAAGGAGGGGCUUGCGUCUGAUUAGCUAGUUGGAGGGGUAACAGCCCACCAAGGCGACGAUCAGUAGCCGGUCUGAGAGGAUGAACGGCCACAUUGGGACUGAGACACGGCCCAGACUCCUACGGGAGGCAGCAGUGGGGGAAUCUUCCGCAAUGGCGAAAGCCUGACGGAGCAAUGCCGCGUGAGUGAUGAAGUUUUCGGAUCGUAAAGCUCUGUUGAGAGGGACGAGAGGCAAGGCUAGGAAAUGAGCUUUGUAGGACGGUAACC